UGUCAUUGUUGGUCACUUCAAUCUUGUGAUUGUGUGCACCUGACCUCAUGUGUUUCACCUGGGUUCAGUUAUUCUGUCUGUGUCAGGUCGUCUCUUCACUUUGGUUCUGUUCAGUCCAGCUCCUGUGUCUCUGUUUUGAGUUUCAGCUCUUGGAUCACCUGAGUUCUCUAACCAGCCUUCUGAGUAUUUUGACCCGACAACUGAUGAACUUCCUUCUAUGAAACUGCAGUUCAUGCCUCCGCCACUGAGGGUGCAGAGAGGGACAUUGCACUUGCAAUCAUGGGGAUAUACACUAUCUGAAGAGAUGGAGAUGUGGAGCCAGAGGACGUGGGAAUCGUGAUUGAAGGCAUCAAAGUCAUGGACAACUUAGGAAGGGUGAUAAUGGGGUUCAUCAUGCUGUUUGGGCUCAUUAAUGCUUUGAUCUGAGCUUUCCAGACAACCUCAAGUACACUUUCCAGUUUAUUCAGAAAUGAAUUUGAAUGAGCACAAGCUCAAUGCAAAGAUACAGCAGCUGAAAAUAAAGUUGUUUGCAUGAGCGGGAAACACAGCCGACAAAGUUCUGCGACCUCAGUGACGUUUUCCUGCGUCCGACAUUUUUAAUGACUGGAUUUCCAUGAGCUGGGAGAAGUAUGUUCACAUAUGGAAAUUCUGUCCACAUAACUUCCCCUUUCCAUCUAUAUGACUUUGUCUCUGCUCUACACCACUUUUGUACUGCUGCUUUUAUUUCCUGAUCAAUUUGUUUCUUGAUAUUUGUUGUAUGUAAAACAACCUACAUUUCCCAUAAUGCAACAUUUGUUGGUUGGUUUUUACUAUGCCAGUUUCUGAGCAUUUUAAAAUGCCUCAUGUCUCAUGCUAAACGGGGGAUCAGAUGAAAAGCAAUAUUGCCUUAUUAAUUUCCAAUUAUAUAAUUUUGUGUUGGACUAACUAAAAUCAAUUUCACAUCAUCUAUGUAGAUAUUUUACUUUAGCUGCCUUUAAAAAAGAUAAGUUGGUGUUAUGUAAAUCAACCUAACUAAUCAACUAAUGUAAUAAUGUUAUUUUAGCUUUAUGUGAGAGAAAUUAGUUGGACCAAUGAGAAGAAAUUAUAUUGCAAGGAUUUUAUUAAAUUGAGUUGGAGCUACAUGUAUUUAUUGAAUGGAAAACCUGCCAGCAAUUGAAUUGAGUUCACCCAAUGAGUUAUAAUUUCAUUGA
Molecule: long non-coding RNA, 1190 nt
Organism: Hippoglossus stenolepis (Pacific halibut)
Lineage: Eukaryota; Metazoa; Chordata; Actinopteri; Pleuronectiformes; Pleuronectidae
Exons: 3
Source: RefSeq, a predicted model, not a curated record